This is a long non-coding RNA of Myiozetetes cayanensis, 6890 nucleotides long. RefSeq lists it as uncharacterized. The transcript has 4 exons. The record is from RefSeq and is a predicted model, not a curated record. Lineage: Eukaryota; Metazoa; Chordata; Aves; Passeriformes; Tyrannidae.
CACGGAGUGCCACCGUGCACGGGGAGAGGAGACUCUCCUCUUUGAAGCUUCUUCACCUAGAGGGUGGUUGGGCACUGGAACGGGCUCCCCGGGGACGCGGUCACAGCACCAAGCCUGACAGAGUUCAAGAAGCUUUUGAACAACGUUCUCAGGCACAUGAUGUGAUUCUUGGUGAUGUCCUUUUCAGGGAUAAGAGUUGGACUUGGUGAUCCUUGUGGGUCCCUUUCAACUCAGAAUAUUUUGUGAUUCAGUGAAGUGGCUUCACAGCCAAGCCUUGGUCCAGCCAGGAAUGUGAAACUGAGUUGUGGAACAGUCUGCCUGAACACAUUCUCAGAGAAACUGCAAUGUCAAAGAUAAUAAUUACUGAAGUGUCAUGAUACAUAUCAUUCACAAUAUGAACAUUUUGGCCUCCUUGACCUCAAAAUAAAGCUACAUCAUGUACUGCAGGGAAUCACAUCAAGCUACACCCAGCAAAGGUUUCCAGGUUCAGAGUAUACAAAUCAUCAACCAUAUGAAGCUCAACAAGGGAAGGAGCUGGAUUCUGCAUCUGGGAUGGGGCAACUCCAAAUAGAUCUACAGACCGGGAAUGAGAUGCUGGAAAGCAGUGCCAUGGAAAGGGACCUGAGGGUCCUGGCCGAGGAGAAGUUGCAUCUGAGUCAGCAGUGCCCUGGCAGCCAGGACGGCCAAUCGUGUCCUGGGGGCAUCAGGCAAAGCAUCAUCAGCCAGUUGAGGGAGGGGAUUGUCCCACUCUGCUCUGCACUGGGGCAGCCUCACCUCGAAUAUUGUGGGCAGUUUGGGGCACCACAAAAUAAGACAUUAAGCUCUUAGAGAGUGUCCAAAGGAGGGCAAUGAAGAUGGUGAAGGGCCUUGAGGGGAAGCUUGUGAGGAGCAGCUGAGGUCACUUGUUCUGUUCAGCCUGGAGGAGACUGAGGGGAGACCUCAUGGCAGUCCACAGCUUCCUCAUGAGGGGAGGAGGAGGGGCAGGCACUGAUCUCUUCUCUGUGGUGACCAGUGACAGGACCUGAAGGAAUGGCCUGAAGUUGUGUCAGGAGAGGUUUAGUUUGGAUAUUAGAAAACAUUCUUCCCCCAGCGGGUGGUUGGGUACUGAAACAGGCUACCCAGGGAAGUGGUCACAGCACCAAGCCUGACAGAGUUCAAGAUGCAUUUGGACUUGGGCACAUGGUAUGAUUCUUGGGGUGUCCUGUGCAGGUCCAGGACUUGGACUUGAUGAUCCUUGUGGGUCCUUUCCCACUAGGCAUAUUUUGUGAUACACUUUUUCUAUGUAUUCAAAAUUAGAAUAUCAGUAUUACAAACUCUGCAUUUUAAGAGGAAGUUUUAAAUAGACAUAUAGGCAAGAAUUAUAUCUGAAGUCACAGGAUACAGGAGACUCAUUAAAGACAUCAGUCAGCAAAAGACAGACAUUUUGAUUAUACUGACUAGCUUGCUGCAACACUGUUACUGUAAGGAACUGAUGACAAACCUGCUUUCACCAUAGUAAGAUACAGAAAUGAUGUAGGGACUAUGCAAUAAAACUGCCACCCUCUACUCCAACAGAAAUACAGUGCUCUUUUUACAAAAUUAAGUACAGCAAUUCCUUCAGAAAUUAGCUACUCUAUUCAAUCUAUUAAAUUAAUAAUUAGAGAGAGAAGGAAAAAAAUAAUCUUUAAACAAUGUUAAUAGGUAAGUGUUACACAAUGUGAAACAUAAGAAAAAUGCUGCUAGAAUUGACCUGAACUGAAUAAGAAUUUAAGUUCAGACAACAGUUUCAGUUCUUUUCACUGAGCUUUCUCUAAGUUACUGGGCCAAGUGGAAGAAUUGAAAAAGAGCAGCUUAAGAUUUUUCAUUUAUAGUGGAGGAAUAUUUAUGGAAUCUAGAGUGUUCAACAACUUGACAGCUGGACUGUCAGAAGACAGUAAUAUAGGUCUGGAUGGAGUUCUUGCUGUGACACCAAGAUUAUAAGCUGAUGGCCUAAGAGCUGAGUAAGAUACUCCUUAAUCUUCAUAGAUUCUAUGAUUAGUUCUGACAGCCAUACGCUUCAGCCAUCAGCAAAGCUCACAGUCUUGCUCCUUCUAUUUCAGUCAAUCUGGAAGUAUAGAGAAUGGACAAGAACAUAAAGUACAAGAAAAUAAGGAAAGUGAAGCAGACCUCUGGCAUUUGAUAUCAUCUUUGGUGCUUAAACAGUUCAUCAGUUGAAGAUUUCUCUCUCACAUUGCAUCACUUUAUAUUAAAAUCAUAUAACAUCAUUUGGUUCUCAGUAAAUUUUCAAUUGCUUUACAGAGCAAAUGGAUGCAUAUCCACAUUACACACAUAUUAAUUAUUCUAGGGUUUCUGCAGUGCUUUUAGGAACCCAAGUGUAUCUUCAAACAGUCCUAUUUCCUCUAAUGAGGGUUUGUAUGACACAGGAUACAUAUGUGAAAGCUACAGGUUUUUGUAACUCAGGUCCAAGCGAGCGUAUGUUUCACCAUGCCCUCACCAGGGGCAAGGACAUCUUCAACUAGACCAGGCUGCUCAGAGCCCCAUGCAAUCUGACCUUGAAUGUUUUGAGGGAUGGGACAUCCACAACUUUUCUGGACAACCUGUUACAGUGUCCUCCCACCCACCUUCUAAAAAACCUCUUCCUUAUGUCUAAUCUAAACCAACCCUCUUUUAGUUUAAAAUCAUUACACCUUGUCCUGUCAUACCUUGUCCCCACUAAUACGUUUGUCCCUGUCUUUUUCAUAGGCCCUCUCUUAAGUACUGAAAGGCUGCAAUAAGGUCUUCCCAAAGCCACCUUUUUUCCAGGCUGAACAACGCUGCCAGCUCUCUCAGCCUUUCCUCGUAGUAGAGGUGCUCCAACUCUCUGAUCAUCUUUGUGGCCCUCCUCUGGAACUGCUCCAACAAGUCCAUGUCCUUCCUAUGCUAGAUUGCUAGAAGAAGAACUAAGUGACUGGGAUGAUGUUGUGGGUUUCUGUGGGUGGGGUUUGGUAGCAGGGGGGGCUACAGCAGUUGCUUCUGUUAGAAGCUGCUAGAAGCUUCCCCUGUCCCAUGAAGCCAAUGCCAACCAGCUCCAGAAUGGACACCCUUUCAACCACCAUCACCUCCCCGGGUGCCCUUGAACAACAGAUAUGAGGCCCUAGACUCAGAAAGUCAAGCAGAGAUCAGGCAAGAGGAAGAUCUGUCUGCAGGCUGCACCCUCUCUACCAGAUGGGUUACAACUACAGUUGUAAGAAAAAAAAGAAGGGUAGUUGUAGUAGGUGACUCCCUUUUGAGGGGAACUGAGGGCCCUACAUGUCGACCAGACCCAUCCUACAGGGAUGUUUGCUGCCUUCCCGGAGCCAGGGUGAGGGACAUUGGUAGGAGACUUUCUGAGUUAAUUUGGACCUCAGAUUAUUACACACUGUUGGUAAUCCAGGCUGGCAGUGAUGAUAUUAAUAGAAGAAGUGCCAGGGCAAUCAAAACAGCUUUCAAGGCACUGGGUAGAUCAGUUCAUGGGACAGGCACACAGAUAGUAUUUGCCUCAGUUCCUGUACUUGCUGGAAUGAAUGAGGAGAUGAAUGGGGAAAAGAGUAGGAAAGCCUACCUUAUCAAUAGGUGGCUAAAGGAUUGGUGCCACUGUCAAAAUUUUAGGUUUUUUGACCAUGGGGCAAACUCCACAGCACCCAGUCCUCUUAAAUCAGAUGGGCUUUAUAUAUCUAGGAAGGGUAAAAGGACUGUAGCCCAUAAGUUAGCAGGGCUCAUCAGGAGGGCUUUAAACUAGGUUUGAAGGGGGAAGGGGUUGAAUUCAGCUCUCCAAAGAGAAGUCCAGGGAUGAAAAGCCUGAGUUAAGAGUAAAAUCAGCAGCCCAGCUGAAGUGCACAUAGGAUGUACAUCCAGUGCACAUAGGAUGAGUAACAAACAGGAGGAGCUGGAAGCCAUCGUGCAGCAGGAAAGCUGUGACGUAGUUGCCAUCAUGGAAAUGUGGUGAGAUGACUUGCAUGACUGGAGUGCUGCCAUGGAGGGAUACAAGCUCUGCAGAAGGGACAGGCAAGGUAGGAGAGGUGGAGGGGUGGCUCUGUAUGUUAGAGAGUCUCUUGACUCUGUAGAACUUUGAGGUUACCAACGAUAAGGUUGAGUGUUUGUGGGCCACAAUCAGGGGGAAGGACAACAAGGCUGAUAUCCUGGUGGGAGUCUGUUAUAGACCACCCAACCAGGAUGAUGAGGGUGAUGAAUUAUUCUACAGGCAGCUGGCAGAUGUCUCAAAAUUGCCAGCCCUUGUUCUUGUGGGCGACUUCAACCUGCCGGAUGUCUGCUGGGAGCUCAACACGGCAGAGAAGAGGCAGUCUAAGAGAUUCCUGGAGUGUAUAGAGGAUAAUUUCCUGCUCCAGCUGGUAAAUGAACCCACCAGGGGUGGGGCCCCACUAGACCUGUUGUUUACAAACAGAGAGGGGCUGGUGGGAGAUGUGGUGGUCGGAGGCCAUCUGGGCCACAAUGACCAUGAAAUAAUAGAGUUUGCAAUACUCAGGGAUACAAGGAGGGCCACCAAUAAAACCUCCACACUGGACUUCUGGAGGGCAGAUUUUGGCUUGUUAAGAAGACUGGUCCAGAGCAUACCCUGGGAAAAAACCCUCGAAAACAAGGAGGGAUGGACGUGCUUCAAGAAGGAAGUCUUGAGUGCACAGGAACAGGCUGUACCAGUGUGCCAAAAGGCAAGCCAGCGAGGUAGACAACCAGCUUGAUUGAACAGGGAGAUUCUGAAGGAAAUCAGGGAUAAAAAGAGAGCUUACAGACUAUGGAAAAUAGGGCUGGCUACUCAGGAUGAGUUUAGGAGUACAACUAGGUCAUGCAGAAAGAAAAUUAGACAAAAGCGCAAUUUGAAGUCAAUUUGGCUACUUCUGUUAAGGAUAACAAAAAGCGCUUCUAUAAAUACAUUAAUAACAAAAGGAGGGGCAAGGAAAACCUCCAUUCCUUGUUGGACUUGGGAAGAAACUUGUUAGACUUAUUGGACUAACAGGGAUGACGAGAAGGCUGAGAUACUUAACAUCUAAUUUGCCUCAGUAUUCACCAGUAGGACAGGUGGCCCUCAGGACAACUGUCCUCUGGAGCUGGUAGACAGGGACAGGAAGCCAAACAGCCCCCCUGUAUUCCAGGAGGAAAUAGUCAGUGACUUACUGAGUUACCUGGAUCCACACAAGUCCAUGGGACCGGAUGGGAUCCAUCCUAGGGUGAUGAGGGAGCUGGCAGAAUAGCUCAACAAGCUGCUCUCCAUGAUUUACCAACAGUCCCGGCUCUCUGGGGAGGUCCCAGACGAUUGGAAGUUGGUGAAUGUCACACCGAUCCACAAAAAGGGCUGCCAAGGAGGACCUGGGAAACUCCAGGCCUGUCAGCCUGACCUUAUGCCUGGCAAGGUUAUGGAGCAGAUCAUCCUGUGUGCAAUCACACAGCAGCUACAGGAUGGACAAGGGAUCAGACCCAGCCAGCACGGGUUUAGGAGGGGCAGGUCCUAUUUGACCAACCUAAUCUCCUUUUAUGAUCAGGUGACCCACCCGGUGGAUGAGGGGAAGGCUGUGGAUGUGUCUAUCUGGAUUUCAGGAAAGCCUUUGACACUGUCUCCCACAGUACACUCCUGGAAAAGCUGCAGCCCCAUGGACAAGGGCACUCUGUGCUGGAUUGGGAACUGGCUGGAGGGUCGGGCCCAGAGAGUGCUGGUGAACGAGGCUGCAUCCAGCUGGUGGCCGAUCACUGGUGGUGUCCCCCAGGGAUCAGUGCUGGGCCCAGUCCUGUUUAACAUCUUUAUUGAUGGUUUAAAUGAGGGGAUUGAGUCCAUCAUUAGCAAAUUUGCAGACGACACCAAGUUGGGGGGGGCGCGUUGAUCUGCUGGAAGGCAGGAGGGCUCUGCAGAGGGACCUGGACAGACUGGAGAGUUGGGCUGAUUCCAACAGGAUGAAGUUCAACAAGGCCAAGUGCCGGGUCCUGCACUUUGGCCACAACAACCCCAGGCUGGGGACAGAGUGGCUGGAGAGCAGCCAGGCAGAAAGGGACCUGGGAGUUUGGACUGACAGGAGGCUGAACAUGAGCCAGCGGUGUGCCCAGGUGGCCAAGAAGGCCAAUGGCAUCCUGGCCUGGAUCAGGAACAGUGUGGCCAGCAGGACCAGGGAAGUGAUCCUUCCCCUGUACUCUGCGUUGGUGAGGCCGCACUUUGAGUAUUGUGUUCAGUUCUGGGCCCCUCAGUUCAGGAAGGACAUGGAGGUGCUGGAGCAGGUCCAGAGAAGAGCAAUGAGGUUGGUAAAGGGACUUGAGCACAAGUCCUGUGAGGAGAGGCUGAGGGAGCUGGGAUUGUUUAGUCUGGAGAAGAGGAGGCUCAGAGGUGAUCUCAUCACUCUCUUCAACUACAUGAAGGGAGGUUAUAGCCAGGUGGGGGUCAGUCUCUUCUCCCAGGUAACCACCAGUAGGACAAGAGGGACAGGCUUAAGCUCUGUCAGGGGAGGUUUCGGUUGGAUAUUAGAAAGAAGCUCUUUACAGAGAGAGUGAUCAGGCAUUGGAAUGGCCUGCCCAGAGAGGUGGUGGAUUCACCAUCCCUGGAGGUUUUAAGAUGAGGCUGGAUGCGGCACUGAGUGUCAUGGUCUAGUAAUCACAGUGGGGCUGGAUCAAGGGUUGGACGUGAUGAUUCUGGAGGUCUCUUCCAACCCAGUUAAUUCUAAGAUUCUAUGAUUCCAUGACUUCCUGCUGCUGGCCAAGGCCAAACAACUUCAGAGUAAUAGUAAUGCCUCUGUGAUAACAUCUUUAAGAACAGAAGGUUGUGGCACAGAAAGAAUUCCAGCCAGGGAAGAGCGGAGUGAGAACAUGGGAACAACAAUACAGACACCAAGGUCAGUGCAGAAGGAGGGGCAGGAAGUGCUCCAGGUGCCAGAGCUGAGGCCCUGCAGCCUGUGGGG